GAUGAACGCUGGCGGCGUGCCUAAUACACGCAAGUCGAGCGAACAGACGAGGAGCUUGCUCCUCUGACGUUAGCGGCGGACGGGUGGGUAACACGUGGAUAACCUACCUAUAAGACUGGGAUAACUUCGGGAAACCGGAGCUAAUACCGGAUAAUAUAUUGAACCGCAUGGUUCAAUAGUGAAAGACGGUUUUGCUGUCACUUAUAGAUGGAUCCGCGCCGCAUUAGCUAGUUGGUAAGGUAACGGCUUACCAAGGCAACGAUGCGUAGCCGACCUGAGAGGGGGAUCGGCCACACUGGAACUGAGACACGGUCCAGACUCCUACGGGAGGCAGCAGUAGGGAAUCUUCCGCAAUGGGCGAAAGCCUGACGGAGCAACGCCGCGUGAGUGAUGAAGGUCUUCGGAUCGUAAAACUCUGUUAUUAGGGAAGAACAAAUGUGUAAGUAACUAUGCACGUCUUGACGGUACCUAAUCAGAAAGCCACGGCUAACUACGUG
Molecule: ribosomal RNA, 497 nt
Filed under: uncultured bacterium
Lineage: Bacteria
Description: partial 16S ribosomal RNA
Rfam family: Bacterial small subunit ribosomal RNA
Source: RNAcentral